RNAcentral lists this antisense RNA (75 nucleotides) under Nocardia terpenica. Its description in RNAcentral is "ASpks TB sRNA". It matches the Rfam family "ASpks TB sRNA". Lineage: Bacteria; Bacillati; Actinomycetota; Actinomycetes; Mycobacteriales; Nocardiaceae. The record is from Rfam by way of RNAcentral.
UUUCAGCGAGCCCAGCCACAGCGGCCGCUGCGGGUCGCGGCCGCGGCCGUAGACCGCGAUGAGGGCCUGCGCCUC